UAGGGAAUCUUCCACAAUGGACGCAAGUCUGAUGGAGCAACGCCGCGUGAGUGAAGAAGGUUUUCGGAUCGUAAAGCUCUGUUGUGGGUGAAGAAGGAUAGAGGCAGUAACUGGUCUUUAUUUGACGGUAAUCAACCAGAAAGUCACGGCUAACUACGUGCCAGCAGCCGCGGUAAUACGUAGGUGGCAAGCGUUGUCCGGAUUUAUUGGGCGUAAAGCGAGCGCAGGCGGAAUGAUAAGUCUGAUGUGAAAGCCCACGGCUCAACCGUGGAACUGCAUCGGAAACUGUCAUUCUUGAGUGCAGAAGAGGAGAGUGGAAUUCCAUGUGUAGCGGUGGAAUGCGUAGAUAUAUGGAAGAACACCAGUGGCGAAGGCGGCUCUCUGGUCUGCAACUGACGCUGAGGCUCGAAAGCAUGGGUAGCGAACAGG
This 429-nucleotide ribosomal RNA is filed under the name bacterium. Its description in RNAcentral is "partial 16S ribosomal RNA". It matches the Rfam family "Bacterial small subunit ribosomal RNA", at positions 355 to 776 of the family's 1533-position model. The record is from RNAcentral.